AAUAUUAAACGAUUCUUACUUGUAAUUCUAUUACCGAGGGUACGCCCUUAAACGAAAUUAUGCUGAAAACGAAAUUUUCCUUAAAAGAAAGUUCUAUUUUUACAGUUACUAUUGGUCGCAUAUGAAGUUUGGGUUAAUGCAAAUUCGCACUUGUUCAUCUAUAACAUGCGGUAAUUUCGUGCUUAGGACAGAUUGGAUAAAAGUGGUUUUCUCAGUGUAGAAGUUCCAUUGUGUGUGAACAUACAUAACAAAUUCGAAAGGAUAAAAUCUAAGAUUUAGCAAUGUCUCUUAUGAAACCUCAUCUUCUAUGUCGCUUGCAGCAGCAAACUCUGCGAAAUUUAAUUACAAAAAUAUAUGCAAAAAUUUUUUAAAUCGACGAACUAGCUCCGGAUACAUUUCAGGUAAUUGAAAAAAACUACGUGCCCGAUGUCACUUCUGCGAAGUCGCUGCUGCAGGGCGCAUUCGCAUGAAG
Long non-coding RNA from Belonocnema kinseyi, 472 nucleotides. RefSeq lists it as uncharacterized. The record is from RefSeq and is a predicted model, not a curated record. NCBI's taxonomy places the organism in Eukaryota, Metazoa, Arthropoda, Insecta, Hymenoptera, Cynipidae. The transcript has 3 exons.